This 788-nucleotide ribosomal RNA is filed under the name uncultured Pelagibacteraceae bacterium. Its description in RNAcentral is "bacterial SSU rRNA". It matches the Rfam family "Bacterial small subunit ribosomal RNA", at positions 44 to 880 of the family's 1533-position model. Lineage: Bacteria; Pseudomonadati; Pseudomonadota; Alphaproteobacteria; Candidatus Pelagibacterales; Candidatus Pelagibacteraceae. The record is from RNAcentral.
ACGCCUAAUACAUGCAAGUCGAACGAGGUAGCAAUACCUAGUGGCAGACGGGUGAGUAACAUGUGGGUACCUUCCCUUUGGUGAGGAAUAACACGAGGAAACUUGUGCUAAUACCUCAUAAGUCUUUACGGAGAAAGCUUUAUGCGCCGAUGGAUGGGCCCGCACUUGAUUAGUUAGUUGGUAGGGUAAUGGCCUACCAAGACUUUGAUCAAUAGCUGAUUUGAGAGGAUGAUCAGCCACAUUGGGACUGAGACACGGCCCAAACUCCUACGGGAGGCAGCAGUAGGGAAUCUUGCACAAUGGAGGAAACUCUGAUGCAGCGAUGCCGCGUGAGUGAAGAAGGCCCUUGGGUUGUAAAGCUCUUUCGUCGGGGAAGAAAAUGACUGUACCCGAAUAAGAAGGUCCGGCUAACUUCGUGCCAGCAGCCGCGGUAAUACGAAGGGACCUAGCGUAGUUCGGAAUUACUGGGCUUAAAGAGUUCGUAGGUGGUUAAAAAAGUUGGUGGUGAAAUCCCAGAGCUUAACUCUGGAACUGCCAUCAAAACUUUUUAGCUAGAGUAUGAUAGAGGAAAGCAGAAUUUCUAGUGUAGAGGUGAAAUUCGUAGAUAUUAGAAAGAAUACCGAUUGCGAAGGCAGCUUUCUGGAUCAUAACUGACACUGAGGAACGAAAGCAUGGGUAGCGAAGAGGAUUAGAUACCCUCGUAGUCCAUGCUGUAAACGAUGUGUGUUAGAUGUUGGAAAUUUAUUUUCAGUAUCGCAGCGAAAGCGUUAAACACACCGCCUGGGGAG